This 2392-nucleotide long non-coding RNA is filed under the name Equus asinus (donkey). RNAcentral's name for it is "lncRNA (ENSEASG00005034323.1)". The record is from RNAcentral. Lineage: Eukaryota; Metazoa; Chordata; Mammalia; Perissodactyla; Equidae.
GUCCAUAACACUGCAGGAGCCUUUCGUUUGGGGCUCCAGAGCUUUAAGACAAUUUCCCACAUCUGUGCUGAUCCAUUUCGCCUUCAACCAGAGCUGUUUCAUGGGGAAAAACUGGAAGAGGAAGGUGGCGCCUUCUCCGGUUUAGCCUCUUGAUUCUACUAUUGCAGUUAUAAAAAUAUAGACAGUGCUUUGAAGAAAAGUUCUGGUCCACUGAUGUCAAGUGAAGAUCAGAUUAUGGAAAACUGGCCUUGUUACAACAAGAAAUGAAGCCUACUCAUGGUUUCUCUUGGUAUUUUGAAUAAAGAAUCUCACUACAAGGUUUCCAGCUUGAAGAUUUAAUUAAAGGCAUGAAGAGAGAUUGGUUCUCGACGCUGAUCACUGAGGACGACUUGUCUGCAGUAGAGAAACACUUUCUGUUGAAAUGUAUGAGGGAAAAAACCUGGCUUCAGAUUGCAGGACGACUGGAAAACAUUUUGGAUAGAUCAGAAAGAUCAGAACAAAUUGGAAUAUCUUAUUCCAAGAUAAAAAAGCACUGUUUUUUUUUUUUUUUUAAAAAAUAAAGCUAUUUGGUAGAAACAUUAGGCAAUCCUAUUUUUUACCUUUAAUGCGAAAGAACUUGUUAUCCCUGAGAAAUAAAAUGGGUAUGCUUUCUGAACUGAACUGUAAAGAUUGGCAAUACAGUGUCAAAACAAUAGCUAGACGGGAGAAGAUGAGAGGAUGGAGGUGGGGGUGGAUAGAGAAGAAAUGCUCUUCAUAGUUUUUAAUUUAGAGAAGCGAGUGCUCCGCAUACUUCCCCCAUGUGACUUCCCCCGAGAGGAAGCUCCCCUCAAGCUUCUGUGCUGGUCCCCUGGGAGCUGAGGCGGAGCUGACCUCACCAUCCUUCCCCCUGAGAGCUCUGUGAACUGACCUUAAUGAGAAUUUUUAGCUACCAAAUGGCUUUGGCUCCAGAUUGCCUCUCCUGUUUGCCACCAUCUUUACCAGGGAUAGAAAGUAGUGAAUGAACUUAUUCGUGCUAAGCUGGGGGCAGGGAGACUGACGCUCUCCCUUCUCCUCUGCCCAAGCUGAGAUGAAGGCUGCGGUGACUGACAGCAGCAGAGCAAGGAUCACCAAGAAUCCCCCGGGGCCUUUACCCCAAGUGUUCUCUCAGUAAAGAAUCUCGGAGGCUGUGCCUUUGCUAGCAUCUUUGUGCUCCCUAAGUCCAGUACGGGGAAGCCAGGGAGAGAUUAAAGACUGUGGUCUAAGCCUCUUAAUCUCCCAGGCCCAGAGUUACCUUGUGACUGCCCGAGGCACUUGGCAGGAACCCCGGAGCCCAGCCUGGGAUGUAGGCUGGGCCUGGCCUCACCACCCUGCCUCUGCAGGCUGUUGGCAAUGCCUGGGCUAGUGAAGGACUGGACAAAACACUCAAUUGCAACCUAAAACACAACAGAAACUUUUGUUAUGGUCAUCCCCAAAGUUUGUCUUUUGAUGUACCCAAGAGACCUUCCCAAGGGCCCUCUGUCUGCCUCUGCUUCCCUCCACCCGCAGAGCUCCGAGGGCCUCCAGCUGCUGCGGGGCAAGAGCUCUAUGUGGUCGUAUCAACUCCUGACCCAGAACAGGAAUUUCUUUGGUGACCCUAAUCUAAAGUGGGUCCCAUGAGUCUUCUGAAGAUGUAAAAGAUGUUAACCCUAGACCAAAACAACAUUUGAGCAUCCUUAUAUCUCUUGUAUGGCAAGUCCACAUUUUAUGUUAAGCACUUUCUGUAUUUAUGAGGGGAGCAGUAGUUCCCUGCCUUGGGGAACGUUGGCUAAUUAUUCAUAGAGAAUUAAAAACUGCCUUGCCAUACUUGUAUUAUGCUCUAAUAUUAAAGGGUGAGUAUUUACCAUGAAAAUAAUUUUAGGGGCUGGCCCUGUGGCAUAGUGGUUAAGUUCUGCACGCUCUGCUUUGGCAGCUUAGUUUCACAGCUUUGGAUCCCAUGAGUGGAUGUAUAGCACUGGUCAGCCAUGCUGUGGCGGGGUCCCACAUACAAAAUAGAGGAAGACUGGCACAGAUGUUAGCUCAGGGCUAAUCUUCCUCAAGCAAAAAAAGAGAAAGAUUGGCAACAGGAUGUUAGCUCAGGGCGAAUCUUCCUCACCAAAAAAAAAAAAAAAGAAAAAGAGGAAGAAGAAGAAAAAGGAAGAAAAUAAUUGUAAUAAUAGCCAAAAUUUAUUAAACACCUACUUUGAGUCAAGCACCAUGGUAGACACUGUGCCUACAUUCACCCUAGUUUUCCCAACAACACCAUGAGACACAUUUUAUCACCCCCAUUUCACAUUUGUUAAAACUGAGGCUCAGAGUGCUGAGGGGACUUGCCCAAGGUCACAUAGCCUGUCAGAGGCAGUUUCACACUCAGGUCUGUCUGUUUUUUAUCCCCCCA